Molecule: transfer RNA, 87 nt
Filed under: Candidatus Harrisonbacteria bacterium RIFCSPLOWO2_02_FULL_45_10c
Lineage: Bacteria; Candidatus Harrisoniibacteriota
Also listed under: 1 other name
Description: tRNA-Leu
Rfam family: tRNA
About the family: Transfer RNA (tRNA) molecules are approximately 80 nucleotides in length. Their secondary structure includes four short double-helical elements and three loops (D, anti-codon, and T loops). Further hydrogen bonds mediate the characteristic L-shaped molecular structure. tRNAs have two regions of fundamental functional importance: the anti-codon, which is responsible for specific mRNA codon recognition, and the 3' end, to which the tRNAs corresponding amino acid is attached (by aminoacyl-tRNA synthetases). tRNAs cope with the degeneracy of the genetic code in two manners: having more than one tRNA (with a specific anti-codon) for a particular amino acid; and 'wobble' base-pairing, i.e. permitting non-standard base-pairing at the 3rd anti-codon position.
Source: RNAcentral
GCCCCCAUGGCGGAACUGGCAGACGCGUACGCUUCAGGUGCGUAAGCCCGCAAGGGCGUAGAGGUUCAAAUCCUCUUGGGGGCACCA